This 395-nucleotide unclassified non-coding RNA is filed under the name fungal sp. Its description in RNAcentral is "partial internal transcribed spacer region". The stretch from base 1 to 46 matches the Rfam family "Eukaryotic small subunit ribosomal RNA", at positions 1786 to 1831 of the family's 1831-position model. The record is from RNAcentral. Lineage: Eukaryota; Fungi.
AAGUCGUAACAAGGUUUCCGUAGGUGAACCUGCGGAAGGAUCAUUAACACGUAUCCAAACGUUAAAACAACCCUGUGAAUAUUGAAUCUCAGUUCCCCCAGGGCAGAAAAAUGGGCUUCCUCUAGUAAAUCAUUGUCUUAACAAGGUUUUGAGUUAGAGGAUGGCGCACGAGUAGCACCUGUAUUGGGUCGAGCGUUUACAACUAUCCACUCCUGGUGCCCCCAAGCAACCAUCAAUCUGAAAGUGUUUGGUGAAUUGUGCAAGGGCAGCGCAGUCAGGUCGUUACUCCCUCGUGGGGCUCAUUCAGGUUGAACAUGAUGCAUGUCUACCGCGCCCGACGAAAGUAUGACGCACCCCUAACCGAACAACUGUGAACAAUGGAUAUCUUAGGUCUC